RNAcentral lists this ribosomal RNA (442 nucleotides) under uncultured bacterium. Its description in RNAcentral is "partial 16S ribosomal RNA". It matches the Rfam family "Bacterial small subunit ribosomal RNA", at positions 338 to 795 of the family's 1533-position model. The record is from RNAcentral.
CCUACGGGAGGCAGCAGUAGGGAAUCUUUCACAAUGGGCGCAAGCCUGAUGGAGCAACGCCGCGUGCAGGAUGAAGGCCUUCGGGUUGUAAACUUCUUUUAUCAGCGAGAAAUAUGAUGGUACCUGAUGAAUACUGAUCGGCUACCUACGUGCCAGCAGCCGCGGGCAUACGUAGGAUCCGAGCAUUGUCCGGGGUGACUGGGUGUAAAGAGUUGCGUAGGUGGCAUAAUAAGUAGCUAGUGUAAUCUGGUGGCUCAACCAUUCAGACUAGUAGCUAAACUGUUAAGCUUGAGACCGUUAGGGGUAACUGGAAUUUCUAGUGUAGGAGUGAAAUCCGUAGAUAUUAGAAGGAACACCAAUAGCGAAGGCAGGUUACUGGGACGGUUCUGACACUAAGGCACGAAAGCGUAGGGAGCAAACGGGAUUAGAUACCCGAGUAGUC